UACGUAGGCAGCGAGCGUUGUUCGGAAUUACUGGGCGUAAAGAGUGUGUAGGCGGUGCUCUAAGUUUGGUGUGAAAUCUCCCGGCUCAACUGGGAGGGUGCGCCGAAUACUGAAUGACUAGAGUGCGGGAGAGGAGAGUGGAAUUCCUGGUGUAGCGGUGAAAUGCGUAGAUAUCAGGAGGAACACCGGUGGUGUAGACGGCUCUCUGGACCGUAACUGACGCUGAGGCACGAAAGCGUGGGUAGCAAACAGG
Molecule: ribosomal RNA, 253 nt
Filed under: uncultured bacterium
Lineage: Bacteria
Description: partial 16S ribosomal RNA
Rfam family: Bacterial small subunit ribosomal RNA
Source: RNAcentral